GACGAACGCUGGCGGCGUGCUUAACACAUGCAAGUCGAACGGAAAGGCCCCUUUGGGGGUACUCGAGUGGCGAACGGGUGAGUAACACGUGAGUAACCUGCCCUUGACUUCGGGAUAACUUCAGGAAACUGGGGCUAAUACCGGAUAGGAAUCCUUGCUGCAUGGUGGGGGUUGGAAAGCUUCGGCGGUUUUGGAUGGACUCGCGGCUUAUCAGCUUGUUGGUGGGGUAGUGGCUUACCAAGGCUUUGACGGGUAGCCGGCCUGGGAGGGCGACCGGCCACAUUGGGACUGGGAUACGGCCCAGAAUCCUACGGGAGGCAGCAGUGGGGAAUAUUGCACAAUGGGCGGGAGCCUGAUGCAGCAACGCCGCGUGCGGGAUGACGGCCUUCGGGUUGUAAACCGCUUUCAGCAGGGGCGAAGCUUGUGGUGACGGUACCUGCAGAAGAAGCACCGGCUAACUACGUG
RNAcentral lists this ribosomal RNA (465 nucleotides) under uncultured bacterium. RNAcentral's name for it is "partial 16S ribosomal RNA". It matches the Rfam family "Bacterial small subunit ribosomal RNA", at positions 28 to 507 of the family's 1533-position model. The record is from RNAcentral.